GGGCUCGCACAAGUGGUGGAGCAUGCGGUUUAAUUCGAUGCUACGCGAAAAACCUUACCAACCCUUGACAUGGUAGUCGCGGAUCACAGAGAUGAGAUCCUUCAGUUCGGCUGGACUACACACAGGUGUUGCAUGGCUGUCGUCAGCUCGUGUCGUGAGAUGUUGGGUUAAGUCCCGCAACGAGCGAAACCCUCAUCCUUAUUUGCUAGCGGUUCGGCCGGGGACUAUAAGGAAACUGCCGGUGAUAAGCCGGAGGAAGGUGGGGAUGAUGUCAAGUCAUCAUGGCCCUUAUGGGUUGGGCUACACGCGUGCUACAAUGGUAUCUACAGAGGGAAGCAAGAUGGCGACAUGGAGCAAAUCCUCAAAAGAUAUCUCAGUUCGGAUUGGUCUCUGCAACUCGAGACCAUGAAGUCGGAAUCACUAGUAAUCG
RNAcentral lists this ribosomal RNA (430 nucleotides) under uncultured bacterium. RNAcentral describes it as "bacterial SSU rRNA". It matches the Rfam family "Bacterial small subunit ribosomal RNA", at positions 917 to 1344 of the family's 1533-position model. The record is from RNAcentral.